AUUUUGCGCAAUGGAGGCAACUCUGACGCAGCCACGCCGCGUGCAGGAGGACGCCCCUACGGGGUGUAAACUGCUUUUCUGCGAGAAGAAGGCCUUGCUUUGGGCAGGGUGUGACGGUAUCGCAGGAAUAAGCACCGGCUAACUCCGUGCCAGCAGCCGCGGUAAUACGGAGGGUGCAAGCGUUGUCCGGAUUUAUUGGGUUUAAAGGGUGCGUAGGCGGCCCGUUAAGUCAGCGGUGAAAUCCCGGGGCUCAACCCCGGAACUGCCGUUGAUACUGGCGGGCUUGAGUUCGGUCGAGGCGGGCGGAACUGGUGGUGUAGCGGUGAAAUGCAUAGAUACCACCAAGAACCCCGAUUGCGAAGGCAGCUCGCUGGGCCGAAACUGACGCUGAGGCACGAAAGCGUGGGGAGCGAACAGG
This 418-nucleotide ribosomal RNA is filed under the name uncultured bacterium. RNAcentral's name for it is "bacterial SSU rRNA". It matches the Rfam family "Bacterial small subunit ribosomal RNA", at positions 361 to 776 of the family's 1533-position model. The record is from RNAcentral.